RNAcentral lists this transfer RNA (72 nucleotides) under Vigna angularis (adzuki bean). Its description in RNAcentral is "tRNA tRNA-Cys". It matches the Rfam family "tRNA". From Rfam's summary of the family: Transfer RNA (tRNA) molecules are approximately 80 nucleotides in length. Their secondary structure includes four short double-helical elements and three loops (D, anti-codon, and T loops). Lineage: Eukaryota; Viridiplantae; Streptophyta; Magnoliopsida; Fabales; Fabaceae. RNAcentral also lists the same sequence under 1 other name. The record is from Rfam by way of RNAcentral.
GGGUCCAUAGCUCAGUGAUAGAGCAUUUGACUGCAGAUUAAGAGGUCACCGGUUCGAACCCGGUUGGGCCCU